UUUCCAGUCCUAUGUUCAAUAAAUGACAAGAGUGGGCAUCCUUGUCUUGUUCCUGACUUUAGAGGAAACAUUUUUAGCUUUUCACCAUUGAGUGUGACAUUAGCUGUGAGCUUGUCACAUAUAGCCUUUAUUAUGUCGAGAUAUG
Molecule: long non-coding RNA, 145 nt
Organism: Cervus elaphus (red deer)
Lineage: Eukaryota; Metazoa; Chordata; Mammalia; Artiodactyla; Cervidae
Exons: 3
Source: RefSeq, a predicted model, not a curated record